UAUAUAUAUAUAUAAUUGUCCAGUAGCACCUUAGAGACCAACUAAGUUUGUUCUUGGUAUAAGCUUUCGUGUGUGUGCUUAUAUCAAGAACAAACUUAGUUGGUCUCUAAGGUGCUACUGGACAUUUAUAUAUAUAUAUAUAU
Podarcis lilfordi (Lilford's wall lizard) is the source of this 143-nucleotide non-coding RNA. Lineage: Eukaryota; Metazoa; Chordata; Lepidosauria; Squamata; Lacertidae. The record is from the annotation of a GenBank genome assembly.